CGAACGGGUGAGUAAUACAUCGGAACGUGCCCGAUCGUGGGGGAUAACGAGGCGAAAGCUUUGCUAAUACCGCAUACGAUCUACGGAUGAAAGCGGGGGAUCUUCGGACCUCGCGCGGACGGAGCGGCCGAUGGCCGAUUAGGUAGUUGGUGGGAUAAAAGCUUACCAAGCCGACGAUCUGUAGCUGGUCUGAGAGGAUGAUCAGCCACACUGGGACUGAGACACGGCCCAC
RNAcentral lists this ribosomal RNA (232 nucleotides) under uncultured bacterium. RNAcentral's name for it is "partial 16S ribosomal RNA". It matches the Rfam family "Bacterial small subunit ribosomal RNA", at positions 99 to 334 of the family's 1533-position model. The record is from RNAcentral.